RNAcentral lists this ribosomal RNA (22 nucleotides) under Discula quercina. RNAcentral describes it as "partial 18S ribosomal RNA". The record is from RNAcentral. Lineage: Eukaryota; Fungi; Ascomycota; Sordariomycetes; Diaporthales; Gnomoniaceae.
GGGGGACCUUCGGAGGGAUCAU